This 64-nucleotide transfer RNA is filed under the name Chrysochroa fulgidissima. RNAcentral describes it as "tRNA-Asp". The record is from RNAcentral. Lineage: Eukaryota; Metazoa; Arthropoda; Insecta; Coleoptera; Buprestidae.
AAAGGUUUAGUUAAAAUAAUAACAUUAACUUGUCAAGUUAAAAUUACCCAAAAGUACCCUUUAA